Molecule: non-coding RNA, 437 nt
Filed under: Pan troglodytes (chimpanzee)
Lineage: Eukaryota; Metazoa; Chordata; Mammalia; Primates; Hominidae
Source: RNAcentral
AAAUAUUAACAGCAACUUAUAUGUACUUCCCCACUUGUUGCUCCAAGAGAUUUACAGAUACUACUUUGAAAACAAGAUGAAAGCCACGGAAUCUCCCCCUGAGAAAAAUGUACAUCUUACAGACUUUCAGUGAGUUCUGGAAUACCAGGAACCAGAGCCCACACUAAUGAACAGCAGUUUCCUAACCUAAUGAGAGAGAUUUGAGAUUUCUUCUGGCUCCCAUGAUCUUCUAAUUGUCUUCUUAGCAAGACUAAACACAUCUCCAAGAAAUGUGCACUGCCAUGAAUGUCUUCCAGCUAUCUUCUAUGACAGCACUUCCCAGUGUGUUCUGUGGAAUAAUGGUACAGGGUGAUGUUCUAUGAAGAAAAAUACGGAAAGUAAUAUAUUCCACAGUCCGUAUAUUAGAUCGGACUAAUAAAAAUAAAUAUGGAAAGUAA